This 497-nucleotide ribosomal RNA is filed under the name uncultured bacterium. Its description in RNAcentral is "partial 16S ribosomal RNA". It matches the Rfam family "Bacterial small subunit ribosomal RNA", at positions 28 to 507 of the family's 1533-position model. The record is from RNAcentral.
GAUGAACGCUGGCGGCGUGCCUAAUACAUGCAAGUCGAGCGAACAGACGAGGAGCUUGCUUCUCUGACGUUAGCGGCGGACGGGUGAGUAAUACGUGGAUAACCUACCUAUAAGACUGGGAUAACUUCGGGAAACCGGAGCUAAUAUCGGAUAAUAUAUUGAACCGCAUGGUUCAAUAGUGAAAGACGGAUUUGCUGUCACUUAUAGAUGGUUCCGCGCCGCAUUAGCUAGUUGGUAAGGUAACGGCUUACCAUGGCAACGAUGCGUAGCCGACCUGAGAGGGUGAUCGGCCACACUGGAACUGAGACACGGUCCAGACUCCUACGGGAGGCAACAGUAGGGAAUCUUCCGCAAUGGGCGAAAGCCUGACGGAGCAACGCCGCGUGAGUGAUGAAGGUCUUCGGAUCGUAAAACUCUGUUAUUAGGAAAGAACAAAUGUGUAAGUAACUAUGCACGUCUUGACGGUACCUAAUCAGAAAGCCACGGCUAACUACGUG